This 515-nucleotide ribosomal RNA is filed under the name uncultured bacterium. Its description in RNAcentral is "bacterial SSU rRNA". It matches the Rfam family "Bacterial small subunit ribosomal RNA", at positions 798 to 1317 of the family's 1533-position model. The record is from RNAcentral.
CACGGUAAACGAUGGAUGCCCGCUGUCCGCCCUUUGCGGCGGGUGGCCAAGCGAAAGCGUUAAGCAUCCCACCUGGGGAGUACGCCGGCAACGGUGAAACUCAAAGGAAUUGACGGGGGCCCGCACAAGCGGAGGAACAUGUGGUUUAAUUCGAUGAUACGCGAGGAACCUUACCCGGGCUUGAAUUGCAGAGGAAGCGUCCGGAGACGGGCGUGCCCUUCGGGGUCUCUGUGAAGGUGCUGCAUGGUUGUCGUCAGCUCGUGCCGUGAGGUGUCGGCUUAAGUGCCAUAACGAGCGCAACCCCUCUCCGUAGUUGCCAUCGGGUGGAGCCGGGCACUCUGCGGACACUGCCACCGCAAGGUGCGAGGAAGGUGGGGACGACGUCAAAUCAGCACGGCCCUUACGUCCGGGGCUACACACGUGUUACAAUGGGGCAUACAGAAAGCCGGCGGCGCGCGAGCUCCGUCCAAUCCCUAAAGUGCCCCUCAGUUCGGACUGGGGUCUGCAACCCGACC